Long non-coding RNA from Magnolia sinica, 1899 nucleotides. RefSeq lists it as uncharacterized. The record is from RefSeq and is a predicted model, not a curated record. NCBI's taxonomy places the organism in Eukaryota, Viridiplantae, Streptophyta, Magnoliopsida, Magnoliales, Magnoliaceae. The transcript has 2 exons.
CUACACCAUUAAGUUUUACCUUGAUGGUACUAUUGAACGUUUAAAGGCUCGCUUGGUUGCUAAGGGAUACAAUUAAACCCUUGGUGUUGAUUAUAUUGAAGCCUUCUCUCAUGUUGCCAAGUUUAACUUUAUUCGUGUUAUCUUCUUCGCGACUAUUAAUCAUGGCCAGCCUUGCUUCCAACUGGACGUUAAAAAUGCAUUUUCUUCACGGUUAUCUCAUAGAGGAUGUCUAUAUGGAGCAAUUACCUAGAUUUAUUGCUUAGGGGGAGUUAUACAAGGUAUAUAAACUGAGAAAGGCAGUCUAUGGGUUGAUGCAAUCUCCAUGGGCAUGGUUGGAAAAAUUCGAUAAAGUUGUGAUAAAUUGUAGCUUUGUUUAAAGCCAUACAGGUCAUUCAAUCUUUAUACAGAAAGACACCUUCGGUCUUAUUGUGUUAGUAGUAUAUGUUGAUGAUAUUAUUGUUAUGGGAAGUGAUGAUAAGGGGAUUAUGGAGCUGAGAUCUUCAGAGGCAUUUUUCUCACGAAAGAUUUGGGUCAUCAUUGAUACUUUUUAGAUAUAGAAGUUGCCAAAUCAAAUGAAGGAAUUAAUUUGUCCCAACGGAAAUACGUUUUGGGUUUGCUCAUAGAGACAUGUCUUCUUGGUACCAAGCUAGUUGAUACAUUAGUGGAUCCAAAUUACAAACUUGCUGGUGAUCAAGAAGAUGUAUUUGAACACCUAAGAAGUUAUAGAAGGUUGAUUGAGAAACUCAUCUAUUUAACUAUAACUCACUCAGACAUAUCUAAUGUUGUGAAUGUGGUGAGCCAAGUUAUGAGCUUUUCGAGAGUAUCUCACAUGGAUGCAGUGGUUCAAAUUUCGUGGCAUCUUAAAGGAGCACUAGGUUAGAGAUAUUCUGUAUAGACAACACAAUCAUGUGAUAGAAUAAGUAGUGUUGUGACCUGAUAAAGUCUUGAAGCUGAAUAUAGAGAAAUGACUCACACUACCUAUGAGCUAAUGUGGAUCUAGAAACUAUUGUAGGAAAUGGGAUUUGUGGUGAAUCUACCUAUGCAGUUAUUUUGUGAUAAUCAGGCAACAUCCACCAUUGCAAACAAUCUAGUCUGUUAUGAAAGAACUAAACAUAUUGAAGUGGACUGUCACUUUAUACGUGAGUAGGCCUUUAGUGGUGAAAUCUCUACUCCAAAUGUCCGGUUUCUAGAUUAACUUGCUGAUAUAUAUUUAUUAAGACUUUACCUCACGAUCAGUCUAGAUGCAUAUACUCAAAGCUUGGCAUCGACAACAUCUAUGCUCCAGCUUGAGGGGGAGUAUUAACGGACGAGAAAUAUAGGCUAUACAACUGUACCACCCACAUAAUGAAUAUGGAUGUGGGCCAUACAGUUGUACUGCCCGAUUAGUGCCUUCUCUCAUCUAUUUUUUUAGUUAAAUUGGAUUAGGACUCUUGAUUAUGACUCAAGGGAAAAUUUUGCUUUUGUUACUAAUGAGUUAUGUUGAGAUGGAUGAGUAGCAAGGUGAUGAAGGAUAGAAUUAGAAAUGAAUACAUUUGAGCGAACUUAGGAGUAACACCAGUUGGCAGUAAGAUAAAGGAAGUAGACUUGUAUGGUUUGGUCAUGUGCAACGGAGUCCAAGACUUGCCUGACUAGGAGUGAGUUGGUUCAAGUUGAAGCCCGUAGAAGGGCAAGGGGAUGGCCCAAAAGGCUGUAGGUGGGGAGAAAAGGCUCAAGGACCAAUGAUUUAAACGAGGAUAUGGGUAGUGAUAGAGUGGAAUGAUGGAAUAUGAUUCAUGUUGCUAACCGCAAUUAGUUAGUAUAAGACUUGGAUGACAAUUAUGUGUGGACCUUUGAUAUGUAAUAUCCUUUGAAAGGCGUAGCAGUUUAAGAGGUGUUUAUUAUUAUUAUUAUUAUUAUUAU